This 700-nucleotide ribosomal RNA is filed under the name uncultured bacterium. RNAcentral describes it as "bacterial SSU rRNA". It matches the Rfam family "Bacterial small subunit ribosomal RNA", at positions 129 to 828 of the family's 1533-position model. The record is from RNAcentral.
CCCAGUAGUGGGGGAUAGCCCGGGGAAACCCGAUUAAUACCGCAUACGUCCUUCGGGAGAAAGCAGGGGCUCUUCGGACCUUGCGCUAUUGGAUGUGCCUAUGUCGGAUUAGCUAGUUGGUGGGGUAAAGGCCUACCAAGGCGACGAUCCGUAGCUGGUCUGAGAGGAUGAUCAGCCACAUCGGGACUGAGACACGGCCCGAACUCCUACGGGAGGCAGCAGUGGGGAAUAUUGGACAAUGGGGGCAACCCUGAUCCAGCCAUGCCGCGUGUGUGAAGAAGGCUUUCGGGUUGUAAAGCACUUUCAGUGAGGAGGAAAACCUUAUGGUUAAUACCCAUGAGGCUUGACGUUACUCACAGAAGAAGCACCGGCUAACUCCGUGCCAGCAGCCGCGGUAAUACGGAGGGUGCAAGCGUUAAUCGGAAUUACUGGGCGUAAAGCGCGCGUAGGGGUUUGAUAAGCGAGAUGUGAAAGCCCCGGGCUUAACCUGGGAACGGCAUUUCGAACUGUCAGGCUAGAGUAUGGUAGAGGGUAGUGGAAUUUCCUGUGUAGCGGUGAAAUGCGUAGAUAUAGGAAGGAACACCAGUGGCGAAGGGGCUACCUGGACCAAUACUGACACUGAGGUGCGAAAGGUGGGGAGCAAACAGGAUUAGAUACCCUGGUAGUCCACGCCGUAAACGAUGUCAACUAGCCGUUGGGG